AUUGAACGCUGGCGGCAGGCUUAACACAUGCAAGUCGAGCGGGGUGAUGGUGCUUGCACUAUCACUUAGCGGCGGACGGGUGAGUAAUGCUUAGGAAUCUGCCUAUUAGUGGGGGACAACAUCACGCAAGGGAUGCUAAUACCGCAUACGUCCUACGGGUGAAAGCAGGGGAGCACUUGUGACCUUGCGCUACUAGAUGAGCCUAAGUCGGAUUAGCUAGGUGGUGGGGUAAAGGCCUACCAAGGCGACGAUCUGUAGCGGGUCUGAGAGGAUGAUCCGCCACACUGGGACUGAGACACGGCACAGACUCCUACGGGAGGCAGCAGUGGGGAAUAUUGGACAAUGGGCGCAAGCCUGAUCCAGCCAUGCCGCGUGUGUGAAGAAGGCCUUCGGGUUGUAAAGCACUUUCAGCGAGGAGGAAGGGGUGUGUGUUAGUAGUACACACCUUUGACGUUACUCGCAGAAGAAGCACCGGCUAACUCUGUGCCAGCCGCCGCUGUAA
Molecule: ribosomal RNA, 502 nt
Filed under: uncultured bacterium
Lineage: Bacteria
Description: partial 16S ribosomal RNA
Rfam family: Bacterial small subunit ribosomal RNA
Source: RNAcentral